Molecule: ribosomal RNA, 582 nt
Filed under: Clonostachys sp. G133
Lineage: Eukaryota; Fungi; Ascomycota; Sordariomycetes; Hypocreales; Bionectriaceae
Description: eukaryotic LSU rRNA
Rfam family: 5.8S ribosomal RNA (bases 215-368)
Source: RNAcentral
AGAGGAAGUAAAAGUCGUAACAAGGUCUCCGUUGGUGAACCAGCGGAGGGAUCAUUACCGAGUUUACAACUCCCAAACCCAUGUGAACAUACCUACUGUUGCUUCGGCGGGAUUGCCCCGGGCGCCUCGUGUGCCCCGGAUCAGGCGCCCGCCUAGGAAACUUAAUUCUUGUUUUAUUUUGGAAUCUUCUGAGUAGUUUUUACAAAUAAAUAAAAACUUUCAACAACGGAUCUCUUGGUUCUGGCAUCGAUGAAGAACGCAGCGAAAUGCGAUAAGUAAUGUGAAUUGCAGAAUUCAGUGAAUCAUCGAAUCUUUGAACGCACAUUGCGCCCGCCAGUAUUCUGGCGGGCAUGCCUGUCUGAGCGUCAUUUCAACCCUCAUGCCCCUAGGGCGUGGUGUUGGGGAUCGGCCAAAGCCCGCGAGGGACGGCCGGCCCCUAAAUCUAGUGGCGGACCCGUCGUGGCCUCCUCUGCGAAGUAGUGAUAUUCCGCAUCGGAGAGCGACGAGCCCCUGCCGUUAAACCCCCAACUUUCCAAGGUUGACCUCAGAUCAGGUAGGAAUACCCGCUGAACUUAAGCAUAU